UGGUUGCGCUGUGAAGAAGAAGAAGGAGGAGGAGGAGGAGUCAGUGCUGUGAGGAACUGCCCAUGAGAAAUCACCCAGAAGUAUGAAACUGAUGUUCUUCUGCUCCUGGCAGAGUUACUGGGGAAAGUCUUGUGUGUAUCAUUAAAGAGCAUGGAACCAUUUCUGAUGUUCUCCCAUCCCAAGAACCCAAAGGUGUAUUGGAAGAAGCUCCCUCUCCACUGGCCACUGAUCCUCAGAGGAAGCAUGGGCACAAACAGCAAGUCCACUAAGGAAGAGACCAGGAAAUAAAUGAAACUAAGGAUUGAUCAAUCUUUGAUUGAGCUGGAGUACAAUUAUUCAUUCCUCUGACAGGAUCUCUCCUGUGCAUUUACAGGACUGUGUUUUAG
Long non-coding RNA from Zonotrichia leucophrys gambelii, 386 nucleotides. RefSeq lists it as uncharacterized. The record is from RefSeq and is a predicted model, not a curated record. The transcript has 4 exons. NCBI's taxonomy places the organism in Eukaryota, Metazoa, Chordata, Aves, Passeriformes, Passerellidae.